UAAUCUUCCAAAUAAGAUUUAAUUUACUUGUAGGGAGAACAUCAUAAACAAUGUAGAAUAUAUGUACAGCAGGGUCAUAUAUUCAGCCGGAGCGCUGAUGGCGGCAGUAUUUGACGACUUGUUUGUAUAGAGGACUGAAGUCUACAGGAUGUGUAGCAGUGUGAGGACAUGCAGAUCAUCUCUUUCACCCAGACAGCAGGGAGCAAGGGAGCGCAGCGCCCUCUGCAGGCCGAGGGAACCCAGACACCUCCCAGACAACAAGACUGAGGAGGGGAUCCCUCCCUGUCUCCGUGGUUACAUCUCUCUCUGUGUGUGUGUGUGUGUGUGUGUGUGUGUGUGUGUGUGUGUGUGUGUGUGUUUCCUCAGGUCGACUCGUUAAUCUCUGCAGGCAACUGUGAUGUCACAUUUCCCUCACAACCACCUGCAGAGAUGAUCCAGUCGCCCUGCUGAUCGAUCAAUAACAGACUCACUGCUGGAUCAGGAGGCUGUAACAGCAGUGGUGGAAAGUUAUGAGUAGAACUGCAUAUCCAGCUGUGCAGCGACGGACAGGUUUCCUGAUGUUGAUGAUACUGCAUCAGGAACUGAUUGGAGAGCGAUGAGAGGCCAUCAGUUCCUGAUGCACUGCCUUCAGCAUUGAAAGACGCUCCGCACUGUGAACACUUGAAGGAUCAUUAUCCAGUCAGCAGGAUAAAUGAUGAAGCAUUUUGGACUCUAAUGUUAGCAUUUAGCUCAAAGUACAGUCUCACAUAACUGCUAGCAUGGAUGUAGACUAGUGGUGUAAAGAUUUAUUGAUACGAGUCAGAAAUCAGUUUUAAUGUUAUAGAUGCGACUACAUCGGUACACAGACCUCUGGAUCGACCUAAAUGUACCAUGAACCCGUCGAUGGUACGAUUAUAAAGUUAUGAAUGCUAAUGAUGCUACCACAGCUAGCACAAUAACAGUAACACACGAGAUAUUAUGUAUUUUGUAUAUUAUGUGUAUUUAUUGGACCUUGAGUCUGGAAAUAAAAGUUGAUUGAUUGAUUGAUUGAUUAAACACUUUCCAGUCACAAUGGAGCUCCAACUGGACGAGGUCUAAAGUAUUCACGGCAGAAAGUCUUUGUUGUUUGUGUAAGCAGGAAACAAUGACCCCGCCCUAAAGCAUGCCCUGCUUUAUGGUCUGUUUUACUCUCAAUGGGACCAUCAGUUACUAAAUGAACAUCAUGCUGUAUGGAAGAAGACUGAAACGAGAGACUGAGAUAAAUAAAUCAAGUUCUACAUAA
Dicentrarchus labrax (European seabass) is the source of this 1261-nucleotide long non-coding RNA. RefSeq lists it as uncharacterized. NCBI's taxonomy places the organism in Eukaryota, Metazoa, Chordata, Actinopteri, Moronidae. The record is from RefSeq and is a predicted model, not a curated record. The transcript has 2 exons.